CGAAGGGACCCCACACCAAUACCAAGUGGGAGACUUCGUCUAUAUAAGACGACAUCACGUGUCAUCCCUGGAGCCUCGCUGGAAAGGAACCUGGUGGGCAUGUGACUCAGGGUUAACUCCUUGCAUUUCAGCCCAGAUAUUUAACAACUCUGUAAAUUAUUGUGUAAUGGUACAAAUAUUUCCCAGAGUGCUCUAUCAUGACGCAAAUACAUUUGAAGAUCAAAUAAGGGGAUAUACCACCCGAUUCCGCCGGGAACCUGUGUCCCUCACUUUAGCCAUAUUACUAGAAAUAGGAGUUGCUAUAGGAGUGGGUACAGGAACCGCUGCCCUUGUCCAUGGGUCUCAACAAAUGGCCCAAUUACAAGCAGCAAUAGAUCAGGACUUAAAAACAUUAGAAACCUCCAUCACAGCCUUACAAGAGUCCCUAACCUCUCUCUCUAAAGUUGUUUUACAAAAUAGACGAGGGUUAGACCUCCUCUUCAUGAGGGAAGGGGGACUCUGUGCUGCCCUAAGGGAGAAAUGUUGCUUCUAUGCUGACCAUAGUGGGGUAGUCAAAGAAUCAAUGACUAAAUUAAGAAAACGCCUUGAGGAGCGACAACGAGAGAGAGAGGCUCAAAAAGGAUGGUUUGAGUCUUGGUUCACACAAUCCCCCUGGCUAACUACACUCUUAUCAGCCCUAGCUGGUCCUUUAAUAAUCCUCAUGUUAUUGUUGACUGUGGGACCCUGUUUACUCAACCGUGUGGUCUCCUUUCUCCAAGCUCAAAUUGGACAAGUUAAACUUAUGGUAAUAAGACAACAGUAUAUCCCUUUAGCAGACACAGAGUGUGAUACCCCUCAAUAAUCUGUCACUUCUAAGAUUAGAAGUACUCAGAAAAAGAAGUGGGGAAUGUAAAGGUUAAAUUUAAGUUUUGCUCUCCUGUUAAGUUUAAGUUCUGUUUUCCUGGAACCCGAAACUUAUGUUAAAAACAGUUACUUAUGUCAAAAUGUACCCUGACCCAACACCCCCUGACAAAACGCAUGAUUAUUCUGUAAUGGUUAUUUUGUAACAAUCCCACCCUCACACCCUAAC
RNAcentral lists this long non-coding RNA (1069 nucleotides) under Marmota monax (woodchuck). Lineage: Eukaryota; Metazoa; Chordata; Mammalia; Rodentia; Sciuridae. The record is from RNAcentral.